GAAAUGCGAUAAGUAGUGUGAAUUGCAGAAUUCAGUGAAUCAUCGAAUCUUUGAACGCACAUUGCGCCCCUUGGUAUUCCAUGGGGCAUGCCUGUUCGAGCGUCAUUUGUAUCCUCAAGCUCUGCUUGGUGUUGGGUGUUUGUCCCCGUCUCCGCGCGUGGACUCGCCCCAAAGUGAUUGGCAGCCGGCGUACUGGUCCCGGAGCGCAGCACAUGUCGCGCAAACGAGUGCCUUGGUACGGCGGCGUCCAUAAGCCCCUCUCUCACGCUCUUGACCUCGGAUCAGGUAGGGAUACCCGCUGAACUUAAGC
RNAcentral lists this unclassified non-coding RNA (310 nucleotides) under plant metagenome. RNAcentral describes it as "partial contains 5.8S ribosomal RNA, internal transcribed spacer 2, and large subunit ribosomal RNA". The stretch from base 1 to 105 matches the Rfam family "5.8S ribosomal RNA", at positions 50 to 154 of the family's 154-position model. The record is from RNAcentral.